CUGAGACAUAUUCGCUGAUUGAUCGUUUACUUCACCCAUGGAAAGCAGAGAAAAUCAAUCUCCUCAAGACGAAAGGGCUCGGGUAUUAGUGGAAUUCUUGGAGGUAGCAAUUACAUCGAUAAUUUUCCUCAAAGGAGUAUAUCCUGGCGGUGCAUUUGAGAGGAGGAGGUAUAUGAAUGUCGUGGUCCAGAGAGCUAGACACCCACAGCUCAGAGAUUACAUUCACUCUGCUGUUACUGGCCUCCUUCCUUUUAUCCAAAAGGGAUUGGUCAACAGAGUGGCAGUAAUUUUUUCUAGCACUGAUAAUAUCCCAGUCGAGAGAUUCAUUUUCAAGCUCACGGUGAAUCAGUCUUGUGACUUGAAGGUGGAAGAAGGUGACCUGGAAUUCUCUCUUAGGUCAUUCUUAAUGAAACUUUCUGUCUCAGGGCCUCUUACCAAGGUUCUCCCACGAGAUUGCAGGUGGGAGAUAACAGCCUACUUUAGUUCCAUUCCUCAGGUUGGUACAAGCAAGUAUGCAGAGUUAUGGAUCCCAACUGACACAAAGCAAUGGCAACAACCUCCACUGAUAACCCCAAUCAAGUCAAUGAGUAGCGAACCUUUGUUUAUGCAACUAUAUUUGGAACAUCCAAGUCUAUCUGAACCAAAGCCUGAAGCGAAGAAUUACUAGACUCCCAC
RNAcentral lists this unclassified non-coding RNA (675 nucleotides) under Hevea brasiliensis (rubber tree). Lineage: Eukaryota; Viridiplantae; Streptophyta; Magnoliopsida; Malpighiales; Euphorbiaceae. The record is from RNAcentral.